RNAcentral lists this ribosomal RNA (253 nucleotides) under uncultured bacterium. Its description in RNAcentral is "partial 16S ribosomal RNA". It matches the Rfam family "Bacterial small subunit ribosomal RNA", at positions 524 to 776 of the family's 1533-position model. The record is from RNAcentral.
UACGUAGGGUGCAGGCGUUAAUCGGAAUUACUGGGCGUAAAGAGCUCGUAGGCGGUUUGUUGCGUCGGCUGUGAAAUCCCGAGGCUCAACCUCGGGUCUGCAGUCGAUACGAGCAAACUAGAGUGUUGCAGGGGAGACUGGAAUUCCUGGUGUAGCGGUGAAAUGCGCAGAUAUCAGGAGGAACACCGGUGGCGAAGGCGGGUCUCUGGGCAGUAACUGACGCUGAGGAGCGAAAGCGUGGGGAGCGAACAGG